Non-coding RNA from Lactuca sativa (garden lettuce), 1861 nucleotides. The record is from RefSeq and is a predicted model, not a curated record. NCBI's taxonomy places the organism in Eukaryota, Viridiplantae, Streptophyta, Magnoliopsida, Asterales, Asteraceae.
UACGCAGUUUCUGCCAUUUUUCUUUUCCUUUUUUUCAACCUGUUCUUCUUGGUAAUGGUUUUUUCGGUAAUGUGUCUGCCACCGGUUUUAUUUAUGCUAUGUGUUCUUCGCCUCCACCAUCGUCGGUUUUGUUUUUGCUGCGUGUCCUUCGCCUCCACCAUCAUCCAAUAGAUAUACACCGUCAUUUAGUUUCCUCCUAAAAUAAUUCAACCCCUAGGUCUUAUCAGAAAUAUGCAUCUUCUCACUGUCUGUAUCUGGUACGUCUCCUCCCAAAAUUGAUAAUGGUGUCGCUGUCGACGGUUCUUCCACUUUCUUCAGGUCGAUUUCUUCUGUGUUUCGUUUGGGUUUAGGGCUUCGAAUCGAUUGCUUCAAUGUCGACCGUCAACUUCCAUAUCCAACACUAUUGGCGAAUCUGUAUACCAAUAGCGCUCCGUUAUAGUUGGAGGAGGUGAUGAUGAAGUUGAAUCUUAUGAUAUAAUGCCGAUUGGACCUUCGAUACUGAUGACCCAUACCUCAUGUUCUAUUGAUGUUGCUCAGAGACACCUUUCUUGCUCUUCUUCUUAGUCUGUCUGGGUGGAGCUGAGGGCUGAAUUUUGUUUUUCGUCCUUCUGCUUUUGUCGGCUUCUCAUUGGAUACGUCAUCGGUUUAUGUAGCUACACGUAGAUCAGAAGCUUCCAUUAUUCUGCUACCACUGUUCAAAUUCUAUUAUUCUGUCUCCAUUUCCAGAUGCUUGAAGGUGUUAUCAUCUACAAAUCACACUUAAUUAAUUGUGUGUGUAACUAUGGUUUUGUGCAACUGGAAUAUAGGUAAAAGUUGGAAAUUAUUUAACUUAAUUUCAUCAGAAGUAAAAAGGAGUAUGGGAAUUAGCCUACAAUGUAUUGAAAAAAUCAUUCAAAUGACAUAGCAAUAGAUUUCAAAACAAGAAGAGUAUUUCAUUGCUCAAGAUUAUGGUGGUGGUGAUCUCUCUGUUUCAGGCAAUAAUGUAAUUUUCUCAAAUUACAGAAGACUCUACAGGCAAUCUAUUGUUCUCCUUCUCCACCAAUAACACUUAUCCCUUAUUAUGGCGAACCUUUAGUCUUCUAUGCAGAUGGAGUUUUUGACAAAAGGUUUAAUCAUUAUGUCACCAUUAAACAAGAUACAUCGUUAAUGCCAUGUAAUUUUAUCCAUCAUUAGUCAUCUUUAUGAAUUCUGGCUUCAUAGCAUAUCGAAGAGAAAGUAGCAAAAAAUUUGUAGCAACUAUUGUAUCACUUGAACUCAAUGAUGAAACUACUCAAGGUAUAGUUGAUGUAUGCUUUUUCAGUUUAUAAACUCAUUUAGACAUUAACAAUGGUUUCCAUCAUGUGACAUGCAGAUCCAAUAGUAUUAGUAGGAGGAAAUGAUUUUUAUGCUUAAGGGGUAUUUUCAGCAAUUUUUGAUAAUAAUAGGCUGCUAUCGUCUUGAUGGAAAGUUGGUGGUUAAAUUCUGAUUAUUUUUAUCUGGGUGACUUCAGAAUUUGUUUUUUUUAGUAUUUUGGCCAGAAAAAUUCGUUUAUGUGUUCUUGAUUAAAGGGUAUUUUGGGAAUUUUGUUUUUAUCUUUUCUAUUGGUUUUACUUGGUGUUGUUGGGAUUCAAUUUGAUGUUGCAUAUGAACUGAAUAUUGGAUUGAAUUCAAGAUUGGUAUCUCAAUCAACCAAAAUCGUUAUCAAAGACACCAGGGGCAUUUCGGUUGAAAUAACUUUUUUUUUUUUAGUUUUUGGAUCCCAUUACCAGUUAAUCAACCAACCAACCAACUGAACAAAAAAUGCCACACCUGACCCCGCAACGCAGGGUCACUCACCUAGUUAAUAUUAAAUAUGAAAGGGAAUAAGAUAAGUGAUAAUUUU